RNAcentral lists this ribosomal RNA (351 nucleotides) under Triticum aestivum (bread wheat). RNAcentral describes it as "partial small subunit ribosomal RNA". The record is from RNAcentral. Lineage: Eukaryota; Viridiplantae; Streptophyta; Magnoliopsida; Poales; Poaceae.
AUGACGUUUUCGACCAUCACCGGUCACCUCCCUGUUGUAAUUGUGACGACGGGGUUGCAAGGGGCGACGGCGAAUGGCGGGGCGUUUCUGCAACAUCAUCUCCAUUGCAAAAAAAUUGGCAAGAUUAUUUGUGUUGCAAAAUUUUCUUCCGCGAGAACACCUACGUUACAAAAAUGUGAAGCCGGAAAAAAAAAUCUGCAAUAUCACCUAUAUUGCAAAUGGUUUCUGCAACAUGAGCUCUAUUGCGAAGAGCUCUGCAAUACUACAUUUGUUACAAUGCUGAAGACGAUGAUGGCGUCAGAUCUAAUGGUCGUCGAGGCGGCAGAAUUUUUGAAAAGAUCUGUCGGCUGA